Molecule: ribosomal RNA, 360 nt
Filed under: Staphylococcus aureus
Lineage: Bacteria; Bacillati; Bacillota; Bacilli; Caryophanales; Staphylococcaceae
Description: partial 23S ribosomal RNA
Rfam family: Bacterial large subunit ribosomal RNA
Source: RNAcentral
UCAUUCAUAGAGUGUAAAGGCAUAAGGGAGCUUGACUGCGAGACCUACAAGUCGAGCAGGGUCGAAAGACGGACUUAGUGAUCCGGUGGUUCCGCAUGGAAGGGCCAUCGCUCAACGGAUAAAAGCUACCCCGGGGAUAACAGGCUUAUCUCCCCCAAGAGUUCACAUCGACGGGGAGGUUUGGCACCUCGAUGUCGGCUCAUCGCAUCCUGGGGCUGUAGUCGGUCCCAAGGGUUGGGCUGUUCGCCCAUUAAAGCGGUACGCUAGCUGGGUUCAGAACGUCGUGAGACAGUUCGGUCCCUAUCCGUCGUGGGCGUAGGAAAUUUGAGAGGAGCUGUCCUUAGUACGAGAGGAACCGGG